Long non-coding RNA from Mesoplodon densirostris (Blainville's beaked whale), 286 nucleotides. RefSeq lists it as uncharacterized. Lineage: Eukaryota; Metazoa; Chordata; Mammalia; Artiodactyla; Ziphiidae. The transcript has 2 exons. The record is from RefSeq and is a predicted model, not a curated record.
GACUGCCUACCCCCAACACCUCCGAAACCUCGUGAGCUGACCCUUCCAGAAGCCCUGAAUGACGGACUCUUCCAGGAGCAGGCUCCACAUCUGGUGGUGGGGACACAGCAGUGAGAAAGACACUCCUCCAACAGGACCCCUGCUCCGCGGUGCUCAGCAAGGAGCGGAAUAGUUAAGGUUCAGACUUUGGUUCUGCAUCUCAACCUCUCUGUGCCACAGGAUGACAGUAUUACCACUUUAUACGUCUUUCUAGGGAUUAAAUAAAAUGGUGUGAUUAGGGAUGUUA